AGGGUUGAGUUCCGAUGAUUGCAUGUCAAAAUUAAGGUUGCUGCUGAACUACCGGAGCUUUUGGCUGCUGUCAGAGCUGCUGUUGAGUCAGUUCGUAGGCUGCUGCUUCGUUCUUUUGUUGCACCGCCGCUGUUGCGGGUCGAGGAAAAAUGGAAUUAUAGUGUUAAAAUCGUUGCGGGCUUGAUUCCUUGAGAUUUUCUUUUCAGUCACAGGUUCAGGAAGCUUUGGCGCGAAGUCGCAU
Arachis ipaensis is the source of this 241-nucleotide non-coding RNA. The record is from RefSeq and is a predicted model, not a curated record. Lineage: Eukaryota; Viridiplantae; Streptophyta; Magnoliopsida; Fabales; Fabaceae.